This 400-nucleotide ribosomal RNA is filed under the name uncultured delta proteobacterium. RNAcentral describes it as "bacterial SSU rRNA". It matches the Rfam family "Bacterial small subunit ribosomal RNA", at positions 147 to 523 of the family's 1533-position model. Lineage: Bacteria; Deltaproteobacteria. The record is from RNAcentral.
CCAGUCGAAAGAUUGGCUAAUACCGGAUACGACUGUGAAGCUCCGGCUUCUGCAGUGAAAGAUGGCCUCUGCUUGCAUGCUAUCACUCGUGGAUCGGCCUGCGCACCAUUUAGCUAGUUGGUGAGGUAAUGGCUCACCAAGGCUGAGAUGGUUAGCUGGUCUGAGAGGAUGGCCAGCCACACUGGGACUGAGACACGGCCCAGACUCCUACGGGAGGCAGCAGUGGGGAAUAUUGCGCAAUGGGCGAAAGCCUGACGCAGCGACGCCGCGUGGGUGAUGAAGGCCUUCGGGUCGUAAAGCCCUGUCGGGAGGGAAGAAACAGCUCGGGUCUAAUACAUCCGAGCAUUGACGGUACCUCCUAAGGAAGCACCGGCUAACUCCGUGCCAGCAGCCGCGGUAA